Molecule: microRNA precursor, 78 nt
Filed under: Medicago truncatula (barrel medic)
Lineage: Eukaryota; Viridiplantae; Streptophyta; Magnoliopsida; Fabales; Fabaceae
Description: MIR5286 microRNA precursor family
Rfam family: MIR5286 microRNA precursor family
Source: Rfam by way of RNAcentral
AACAACUCUAGUUGUCUAAUGUUUGAUUUGUAAAACUGUUUCAAAUACAGGACAAACUGGAGGCAAGGGACAGGACAA